UCUAAAACUCAAGAUAUGGGUUGAACACCAAAUCAUGUCUGGGCUACAGAACAGAUUCAAACUUCUUUUUUGUUGCUAAGAUUUCAACUUGAAAAAGGUAACUUUGAAUCUUGGAAUUUUCAUAAAUGUUUUAAGCGUAUGUCUCAGCUUUCCAUC
Non-coding RNA from Populus trichocarpa (black cottonwood), 156 nucleotides. The record is from Rfam. Lineage: Eukaryota; Viridiplantae; Streptophyta; Magnoliopsida; Malpighiales; Salicaceae.